CUGGCGGCGUGCCUAAUACAUGCAAGUCGAACGGUCUUUCUAUGGAAGCUUGCUCCACUGAGAAGAUAGUGGCGAACGGGUGAGUAACACGUGGGUAACCUGCCCAUAAGAGGGGGGAUAACAUCCGGAAACGGGUGCUAAUACCGCAUAGUUUUCUUGAUCGCAUGAUUGAGAAAGGAAAGACGGCCUUUGUGCUGUCGCUUAUGGAUGGACCCGCGGCGUAUUAGUUAGUUGGUGAGGUAACGGCUCACCAAGACGAUGAUACGUAGCCGACCUGAGAGGGUGAUCGGCCACAUUGGGACUGAGACACGGCCCAAACUCCUACGGGAGGCAGCAGUAGGGAAUCUUCCGCAAUGGACGAAAGUCUGACGGAGCAACGCCGCGUGAGUGAAAGAAGGUUUUCGGAUCGUAAAACUCUGUUGUCAGAGAAGAACAAGUUGGAGAGUAACUGCUCCAGCCUUGACGGUAUCUGACCAGAAAGCCACGGCUAACUACGUGCCAGCCGCGGC
This 509-nucleotide ribosomal RNA is filed under the name uncultured bacterium. Its description in RNAcentral is "bacterial SSU rRNA". It matches the Rfam family "Bacterial small subunit ribosomal RNA", at positions 36 to 518 of the family's 1533-position model. The record is from RNAcentral.